ACUUAAUGUUCAAGUGGAGCUCAAUAAUUACUUCCUCUAUGUGGCCUUUUAUAAUCCCUCUCCUUUUCCGGAUGCUCAUUUCUUAAACCUUUACACUUGUGACAUGCAAGCGCAGAAUCUCUUCUUUCUCCACACUCCCUCCCAAGAUGAGGUAAUGGAAUUUCUGGUUUUAAAUACCAACUACAGCCCAUGAUUCCCAAAUGAAUAUCUCUAGCCUGGAGGUCUAGACUCAUGCAUCCAAAUGCUUGUGUAAUAUUCCCACUUAGAAAUCAUAAAAUCUUAUUCGAUUUACCAUGUCCCGAACGGCACCGGGAGUUCCACCUACAUCAGCACCAGAUCGCCUGCUCUCAGGCUUUUCCUUUCUCAGGCCAGAAUCCCUGGAGCCACCUUGUCUUACCUCUUUCCAUCACACCCCUCUCCAAUCAUCAGGAAAUGCUAUUGGCUCAGUAUGCAAAGUACACAUAGUGCAAAACUUAACCAUCCCUCACUGUCCUAGGUCAGACCAGAAUCAUCUCUUUUUAACCUUGGUCCCUAUAACCUAUCUACAAACCCAAUUGAGAAGGUCCUUUUAAAAUGUAAUUGAUAUCUGACAAUUAUGCCACUUGAAGUUUUCAACAUAAAUCCAAUGCAGAAUAAAAUCUGAUGUUUUUAGCAUCACCCACGAGGUCUUACAGGUCUUGCAGGAAACAGCCACCUGCCCACACUGCCUUUUCUAAGGUUGCCUCCUUCCACUCUCUACCCAUUCUGGCCUCUGAUGUUGUGCCUUGAACACGCAAGAUCCCUCCACUCAGAGCUUUUGAUUUACUCCUUGCUCUGCCUAGAGCAUUCUUUGCCCAGUUAUCUGUGUGGCUUCCUCCCACAUGUCAUUCUAAUUUCUGCUCAGAUAUAACGCAGUUAAGGGACUUUCCAUUUCUAUUUCGAUAAAAUAGCACUGCCAUCUCAUCUCACUGGUGCUCCCCUCCCUUCAGUGGCAUUUAUCUCCCCCUGAGAUACUCCAUUCCCUCCCUUAAAAGCUUCAUGAUGGAGAGAUUUGGUCCCUAGCAUUGACUACCUAGUAGGUCAUCAGUAAAUAUUUACUGAAUGAAUGAAUGGAUGAACUGAUCUGUUUUCCUCACCACAUGAACACUUUUUGCAUGUAUUACUCAUAAUUCUACUUCAAUUACCUACAGUUAUAGAAAGGCUAAUGUGCAUAACUUGCAUUUUUAUGGGAUUCAUGGUUUAUACUGCCCUUUUUUACAACAGUUGUUGCAGUUAGUACAACUACCAAUAUAUUUGUUGAUGCUUGUAACAACCCAGUGAGGUAAAGGAGUACAGAUGGUGAAGCUGAGGCCAACAGAAAGUGAAGGGUGUUUUUCAGAGAGUCACACAUGUAAUAACGGAAAAAAUCAGGACUUGAACUUAAGUUUAUUACUUUUCAUCUCAAGAUUUUCUCUGUGAAAGGGAGAUACCUUGUAUUUGCUGAUUUGUACUGUGUCUGAAUUGAUUCGCCUUGAAUAGUGCCUACAAAGAAAGGAUCAAUUGUACAUAUUUCAUAUAUAACUGUACUUUGCCUAGCACAGAGUGAAAUAUGUAAUAGCUCAGUCAAUAAUUGUUGACUGCAAGUCCACACUCAAUGUUGCAAAAAUGCAUUCUUCCCAUAUGUCUCAAAGACUCUACCUGGGAGAUUUUUUUUAUCACUUUGUAGGCUCAAGUUCAACUUCAAGGUAAACUUAGUCCUCUAUGCAUAUAUAUAUAUGCAUACAGAUGUAUGAAAAUAGAAGUCAAGAUAAGGAGGUAGACACAAAAAGAUUAAACUGAUAGGUAACUGGAGACAUAGAAGAGUGCCCAAAGGGGUGUCACAAGUGAGAACUUAACUGAGAAACAUCCAGAUCUGGGAUAGGGUUAAGAACUUUGGGUAGGGUGAAGCCGUGGGAAGAUUGAAUGAGCAGUGUACCUGUUGACAGGUGAGGGGCCCUCUCUUGACUAAGUAGCCAGCUUGGCUUGGAUCAGAACACAUCCCUGGAGACAUGUGCCAGAGGAAAAUGCAGAAUGAUUCAAGAAAGGCAUGCCUGGACCCAGAGUGGGGCUCUGUUCCCUGCAAGGAAGCUAGGGUAAAAGCCAGGAACUAUUGCCAAUAGUCCAACUGGAGGAUAGAGGGCAGGCUGCAAUUCUUGAGUUCAGGUUUCCCUAGUAAGCAGGUCUGGGAAAGACGAGAAAUCCUAGCUCACACCUCUCUACACACACAGCCUGGUCCUCUCCAGAUGGUUUCAGUAAAGGCUGAGUGGGUUUGAGCCUCUACUACUUAUCUCAAGGGGACCCUACAGAAAAGACCCUGGACAGGCAGAUAAAAUCCUGAUUCACUCACCUAGAAGCCUGCCUGCUUCUAAGUCCUCCUUCCCUCCCUUCUGGCUGCCAUCCGAUCUUCUUAACUAGCACCCUCCCCUUUCCAAAGCCCCAUCUGCUUCCUGGGAGGAAAAGCAGCCCCUGUGUGAGCUCAUGAGCUUGGCCUGGGGCUGCAAGCACCCACAUCCAGCCAUCCAGUCACCAACAAAUAACUUCCUGCAGGCCUAUUUAUCUUCGGCUUCAGCACAGCGGAACCGGGGUCUAUAAAUUGUAGUUGGGAUUCAGGACUAUUUUUUCUAGGUCAGGGAUGUGCUGCAUAUCAAUAGUGGAGCGGAGUCUCAGCCUGUCCUCCUCUGCCCAGAAUCCAUUUGCCUGCCAUAGCGGAAAAAGCGUGCCCAGUGGGCUGCAGCCCCCCUGGUGGACCCCAAGGCCAGUAUCUUCUGCAGUGGACAAGAACGCAGAGUCUGGAGACAAAUGAACAGCUGCUGAGCGGGUCCAGCCAUUCUGUUACAGGCUCUGCAAGCCUCUGCAUGCAGAGUUGAAGCUGAAUUUUGCUAAAGGCAAAUCUGGUGCUUCUACUUGGCUUGGUGCUCUGUUAUAAGUGUAUUUAAGAAUCCCGUGUAUGAGUUGAACAUCAUGGGUUUUGUGGCCCUACACCAACACAGAGGCAGCAAAAUCAGCUCUUGGGUGAGAACUGGUUUUCAAACCCAGCUCUGCCCUGUCCUGUGCAGGAAAUUGUUUCUCUUACGUAAAAGGGCCCAAUGAGGUAAAUUUCAUCAUGUGGGUAAAACAAAAUGAAUAAAAGUGUCUGAUAUUUAACAGUGUGAGGCUUGUUUAAAAUUAGAAAUACUUGUGUGGAAAUGGCAACAGGGCUUAGACUGGCAGAACGCCAUGGGGCUUUUAAAGGAGAAACUUGGAAUCAGACUCAACAGUGUGUGAAUCUUGGUUCUUCCAUUUACUGUGCAGCAACCUUGAGGGUGUUAUUUAGUCUUCUAUGACUAGGGAAUAAUAGUGCUGCCCAUCUCAUAAAGUUGUUGAUCUGACUAAAAGAUGUGAUGCCUUUAAAGUACAAAGCGUUGGGAUUUUUUGCAUAGUGAGACCUUAAUAAACGUGAGAUGCUAUUAUAUCUUUAUUGGAUAACCAAAGCCUUAAACUCAGUUUAAUGAGACAUAUUUUAACAGGCUAACCAAUGUGCAUGUAAUUUAUAGUUGUGUAUUUAUUAUUGGGGAAAAAUAACAUUAAAAUAAUCUUCAGUUGAAUUGUUAAUCCAAUUGAGUGGAACCUGGGUUUAUUGGCUGUUCAUUAAAAGUGUGGGUGCCACAUGCUCUGAUGGAUCCAAAGAUGAAUAAGAAAUGAAAAUUAAACUGAUGUAUCAGCUCUGUGCUAGAGACUCUCAGAUAGAUCAUCUCAUUUAAUCUUUUUACAUAAUUUAUAUUAAUUACAUGAGGAAGAACAAUUCAUGGUCAUUGGGGAAAGUUUGGAAAGAUAAAAAAUAUUUUAAAAAAUUGAAAUUCCCCAUAACCACCAUUAGCUCUUUGCUCUGUUGCCCUCAUGUCUUUUUUGGUGCAAAUUUCAUGGUCUAUUUAAACCUGAAUUCCCUGAUCUGGAAAAUAAGGACACCCCCAUCCCCAAGGGGGUUAGACAGAAAAUGAGACCCUAUGAGAAAAGCAUCUCAGUGCCAGGUAUUUCACAGAGGCUCAAUAAAUUUCACAUCCUUUGAAUUUUAUCAUAUAUGACUGGUUUCACAGAAUUUUACAGUUAGCAUAAGCCCUAGAUUGUGAGAAUAUGAGGUCAUCUUUCAGAGGGCUUACAAAGCCCAGAGAUAGAUCUGAAGCAUCUUUCUAGAGUGCCAGUUUACUCAAAGAUUUUUAGUGAGUGGUAGUAAAAGGUAUGAUUUUUAAAUUGAGUGCCAUGCAAUUGAGAUGCACAAUUCUCGAUUUUAAAGAUAAAAUAAGAGACUGCAAGGAAACCCUAUACUUGUUGGUGGUAGGCCAGCUCACACACAGCCCUGGCCCAUGGGACGUUUCCUUGGAAGAGUUCAAGUUCUUGGGUUCAAGAUGCUGAGGGAGCCAGAGUUGUGGGAGGGUUUUAAACAGAGAUACUGAAGUGGUGUUAGGUGUUAGGUCACCUUGCUGGUCAAGGGGAAGCUGAGAUGAAGGAAUUACCAUAGAGGAAAACCUGCUAUAAAGCUAGGGCCAUGGGCAGGGUAGGCAGCGAUGAGAGUGAGAACUAGGGAGAUACAGUGAGAAUGGUUAGGAAGGAAUGAAACUAGACAAUUCUGAAGACGACAUAAAGACAGACUUAUCACUGAACACAUGGAAGGCAAAUUGGAUGAGAAGAAUCCUAAGAAUAUGCCUAGGUUCUCACUGGGUGGACGAUAGACCCAGAGAAAUGAUAGACUUAUAAAAAAAGGUACAGAUACAUACGAUCAUCCGUAAUAUACAGUAGUCAUCUAGCCUUUUGCAGUGAAAUUUCUUAGCUGCGCUGCCACCUGAACUAAACUGAAAUUGAAUUUAAUAGAAAAAUCAAAUUAAGGAGUUCCUGAUGUGGUUCAGUGGGUUAAGAACCCAACUGGUAUCCAUGAGGAUGUGGGUUCAACUCCUGGCCUCACUCAGUGUGUUAACAAUCUGGCAUUGCUGUGAGCUGUAGUGUAGGUUGCAGAUAUGGCUUGGAUCUGGC
Molecule: long non-coding RNA, 5001 nt
Filed under: Sus scrofa (pig)
Lineage: Eukaryota; Metazoa; Chordata; Mammalia; Artiodactyla; Suidae
Description: lncRNA (ENSSSCG00000054666.1)
Source: RNAcentral